GAUGAAGAACGUAGCGAAAUGCGAUAAGUAAUGUGAAUUGCAGAAUUCAGUGAAUCAUCGAAUCUUUGAACGCACAUUGCGCCCUCUGGUAUUCCGGGGGGCAUGCCUGUUCGAGCGUCAUUACAACCCUCAAGCUUUGCUUGGUAUUGGACAUUGCCAGUUUCUGGCAGGUCUUAAAAUCAGUGGCGGUGCCAUUUGGCUUCAAGCGUAGUAAUUCUUCUCGCUUUGGAGAUCCAAGUGGUUACUUGCCAAUAACCCCCAAUUUUUUCAGGUUGACCUCGGAUCAGGUAGGGAUACCCGCUGAACUUAAGCAAAUCAAUAAGCGGAGGA
Molecule: unclassified non-coding RNA, 330 nt
Filed under: soil metagenome
Description: partial contains 5.8S ribosomal RNA, internal transcribed spacer 2, and large subunit ribosomal RNA
Rfam family: 5.8S ribosomal RNA (bases 1-120)
Source: RNAcentral